RNAcentral lists this unclassified non-coding RNA (136 nucleotides) under uncultured Hypocreales. Its description in RNAcentral is "sequence contains ITS1". The record is from RNAcentral. Lineage: Eukaryota; Fungi; Ascomycota; Sordariomycetes; Hypocreales.
CCGAGUUUACAACUCCCAAACCCUUUGUGAACCUUACCUACGUUGCUUCGGCGGGGCCCCCGCGGUCCCGCCGACGGCCAACCAAACUCUUGUUUUGUCAGUGGUUUCUCUCUGAGUGGCACAAGCAAAUAAAUUA